This 328-nucleotide ribosomal RNA is filed under the name uncultured Atopobium sp. Its description in RNAcentral is "bacterial SSU rRNA". It matches the Rfam family "Bacterial small subunit ribosomal RNA", at positions 187 to 524 of the family's 1533-position model. The record is from RNAcentral. Lineage: Bacteria; Bacillati; Actinomycetota; Coriobacteriia; Coriobacteriales; Atopobiaceae.
CAUGGGCGAAUAUGGGAAAAGCUCCGGCGGCAAAGGAUGGGGCCCCGCGGCCUGUUAGCUAGUUGGUGGGGUAGUGGCCUACCCAAGGCAAUGAUGGGUAGCCGGGUUGAGAGACCGACCGGCCAGAUUGGGACUGAGACACGGCCCAGACUCCUACGGGAGGCAGCAGUGGGGAAUCUUGCACAAUGGGCGAAAGCCUGAUGCAGCGACGCCGCGUGCGGGAUGAAGGCCUUCGGGUUGUAAACCGCUUUCAGCAGGGACGAGGCCGCAAGGUGACGGUACCUGCAGAAGAAGCCCCGGCUAACUACGUGCCAGCAGCCGCGGUAAU